GACGAACGCUGGCGGCGUGCUUAACACAUGCAAGUCGAACGGAAAGGCCCUGCUUUUGUGGGGUGCUCGAGUGGCGAACGGGUGAGUAACACGUGAGUAACCUGCCCUUGACUUUGGGAUAACUUCAGGAAACUGGGGCUAAUACCGGAUAGGAGCUCCUGCUGCAUGGUGGGGGUUGGAAAGUUUCGGCGGUUGGGGAUGGACUCGCGGCUUAUCAGCUUGUUGGUGGGGUAGUGGCUUACCAAGGCUUUGACGGGUAGCCGGCCUGAGAGGGUGACCGGCCACAUUGGGACUGAGAUACGGCCCAGACUCCUACGGGAGGGAGGAGUGGGGAAUAUUGCACACUGGGCGGAAGCCUGAUGGAGCAGCGCCGCGUGCGGGAUGACGGCCUUCGGGUUGUAAACCGCUUUCGCGUGUGACGAAGCGUGAGUGACGGUAAUGGGUAAAGAAGCACCGGCUAACUACGUG
Molecule: ribosomal RNA, 468 nt
Filed under: uncultured bacterium
Lineage: Bacteria
Description: partial 16S ribosomal RNA
Rfam family: Bacterial small subunit ribosomal RNA
Source: RNAcentral